Molecule: long non-coding RNA, 628 nt
Filed under: Sinocyclocheilus anshuiensis
Lineage: Eukaryota; Metazoa; Chordata; Actinopteri; Cypriniformes; Cyprinidae
Description: lncRNA (ENSSANG00000023227.1)
Source: RNAcentral
UGCUGGAGGGGAAGAUUCUGAAAAUUCAACAUCUGAAGUCACAUCUGUGUCUGAGUCCUCUACUCCAUUUCACUGGAUGCAGACCAGUCCCACACAGAGCCCUGCGGAACAGAACCACACUGAUCAGACAAACCGUGAUACGCAUAUAGAGUUGACAACUUCACAUCCAAAUCCAGACACCACAGGGCUGGGAGUGUUUGAAUCAGUGACCACUAAAGAAACAGCAGCAAAUAAAGCAGUUGUUACUCCAGAACACGCCACCCCAAACAACGGGUCUAUAGACUGGCUGAUCAUUUUACUCGUCAUUUUGGCCGUUUUUGUCAUUCUGCUUGUCUGUGUUAUUGUAGCAAACAGAAAAAGAUGGUGCGGCAAGAAACAGACUCUGAUUAUUACACAAGAGAGCAGCAGUGAAGAAAAGGGCGCAGCAGCUUCAUUGACUAAGGAGCAGGAGAUGGUCAAACUAGUGAACACUGAGAAGAUCGCAGGGAACAGCAACUCAGAGUUUAUCAGCAUCAGUCCAGAGAAGUGAACAGAGAAAACCCAGAAGGCAUAAGAAUGACAACACAAGCAGUUUUACACUAACAACUUACAAUACAGAUGCACUAAUAUGCCUUAAUCAAUGCUGAAC